This 672-nucleotide small RNA is filed under the name Spiromastigoides albida. RNAcentral describes it as "eukaryotic LSU rRNA". The stretch from base 247 to 400 matches the Rfam family "5.8S ribosomal RNA". The record is from RNAcentral. Lineage: Eukaryota; Fungi; Ascomycota; Eurotiomycetes; Onygenales; Spiromastigoidaceae.
GUAACAAGGUUUCCGUAGGUGAACCUGCGGAAGGAUCAUUACCGUGCCCGCGGCCGCCGGCGGCUCCUUCGGGGGCUCGUUCGGCGCCGCGUCCGGCCCAACCGUGUCUAUCUGUACCUGUUGCUUCGGCGGGCCUGCGGGCUCUGCUCGCUGCCGGGGGCCCCUGGGGCUCCGGGCUCGUGCCCGCCGAAGACGCCUGGAACUACUGUCGAAGUUGGCGGUCUGAGUGGACUUGAUAAUCGUUAAAACUUUCAACAACGGAUCUCUUGGUUCCGGCAUCGAUGAAGAACGCAGCGAAAUGCGAUAAGUAAUGUGAAUUGCAGAAUUCCGUGAAUCAUCGAAUCUUUGAACGCACAUUGCGCCCCCUGGUAUUCCGGGGGGCAUGCCUGUCCGAGCGUCAUUGCAACCCCUUCAAGCCCGGCUUGUGUGUUGGGCGUCGUCCCCGCUGGACGCGCCCGAAAGGCAGUGGCGGCUCCGUGUCCGGUGCCCGAGCGUAUGGGCUUUGUCACCCGCUUCAGUGGCCCGGCCGGCGUCGGCCUCCAAGUCUUAACUGGAGUCUAGUUAAAGCCUUCACGGGACUUAACUGGACUUUGGUUAAGGUCUUAACCAAACUUUCGUGGUUGACCUCGGAUCAGGUAGGGAUACCCGCUGAACUUAAGCAUAUCAAUAAGC